GUGGUUGCCUCUGAAGAGGGAGGGAGAUUAAUUGGAGAUCAGGGAUAGGAGAUCAGACUUGUAACAUUGAACUAUUUGAAUUAUUUUUUUCACAUACAUGUAGUACCUUUGCAAAAUACAUUUUUGACACUUUUUAAUAAACUGAUUAAUAUUAUGAAAUAUCAAAUUAUUUUUUACUUAAGUUGGAUCACAAGGACGAGUCAUAAGUUUUGAGGUACGAAAAGACCACCAUGAUCUGGCUAAGAAGAAUUACAAACACUGGCGUGAUUCAUGGAAAUUAAGUCAUGUAGAAGAGUGGCCAGACAAUGUGGAUUUUAUUCAUAAGGACAUUUCAGGAGCAACCGAAGACAUAAAAUCUUUAACAUUUGACGCAGUAGCUUUGGAUAUGUUAAAUCCUCAUGUUACUUUGCCUGUUUUUUACCCACAUCUUAAGCAUGGUGGUGUAUGUGCUGUAUAUGUAGUAAACAUCACACAGGUUAUUGAACUUUUAGAUGGAAUUCGCACCUGUGAACUUGCUCUUUCAUGUGAAAAGAUAAGCGAGGUCAUUGUCAGAGAUUGGUUGGUUUGCCUUGC
Molecule: long non-coding RNA, 573 nt
Filed under: Homo sapiens (human)
Lineage: Eukaryota; Metazoa; Chordata; Mammalia; Primates; Hominidae
Description: non-protein coding lnc-C2orf71-3:2
Source: RNAcentral